AUGAUGAAACCCCGAUAGCCAGAAAAUGAAGAAAAUCGCAUGGACUGA
This 48-nucleotide small nucleolar RNA is filed under the name Pyrobaculum calidifontis JCM 11548. RNAcentral's name for it is "PCAsR18". The record is from RNAcentral. Lineage: Archaea; Thermoproteati; Thermoproteota; Thermoprotei; Thermoproteales; Thermoproteaceae.